Molecule: transfer RNA, 73 nt
Filed under: Candidatus Vecturithrix granuli
Lineage: Bacteria; Candidatus Moduliflexota; Candidatus Vecturitrichia; Candidatus Vecturitrichales; Candidatus Vecturitrichaceae
Rfam family: tRNA
About the family: Transfer RNA (tRNA) molecules are approximately 80 nucleotides in length. Their secondary structure includes four short double-helical elements and three loops (D, anti-codon, and T loops). Further hydrogen bonds mediate the characteristic L-shaped molecular structure. tRNAs have two regions of fundamental functional importance: the anti-codon, which is responsible for specific mRNA codon recognition, and the 3' end, to which the tRNAs corresponding amino acid is attached (by aminoacyl-tRNA synthetases). tRNAs cope with the degeneracy of the genetic code in two manners: having more than one tRNA (with a specific anti-codon) for a particular amino acid; and 'wobble' base-pairing, i.e. permitting non-standard base-pairing at the 3rd anti-codon position.
Source: Rfam by way of RNAcentral
GGCGACAUACCCAAGUGGUUAAGGGGGCGGUCUGCAAAACCGCUAUGCUCCGGUUCAAAUCCGGAUGUCGCCU